RNAcentral lists this ribosomal RNA (254 nucleotides) under uncultured bacterium. RNAcentral's name for it is "partial 16S ribosomal RNA". It matches the Rfam family "Bacterial small subunit ribosomal RNA", at positions 524 to 776 of the family's 1533-position model. The record is from RNAcentral.
UACGUAGGGAGCAAGCGUUGUCCGGAAUCAUUGGGCGUAAAGCGCGCGUAGGUGGCCACAUAAGUCCGUUGUGAAAGUCAAAGGCUCAACCUUUGAAAGCCGAUGGAAUACUGUGUGGCUAGAGUACGGAAGAGGCGAGUGGAAUUCCUGGUGUAGCGGUGGAAUGCGCAGAUAUCAGGAGGAACACCAAUAGCGAAGGCAGCUCGCUGGGACGUUACUGACACUGAGGCGCGAAAGCGUGGGGAGCGAACAGG